RNAcentral lists this ribosomal RNA (249 nucleotides) under uncultured Lactobacillus sp. RNAcentral describes it as "partial 16S ribosomal RNA". It matches the Rfam family "Bacterial small subunit ribosomal RNA", at positions 113 to 355 of the family's 1533-position model. Lineage: Bacteria; Bacillati; Bacillota; Bacilli; Lactobacillales; Lactobacillaceae. The record is from RNAcentral.
CAACGUGGGUAACCUGCCCAAGAGAUCGGGAUAACACCUGGAAACAGAUGCUAAUACCGGAUAACAACAGAUGAUGCCUAUCAACUGUUUAAAAGAUGGUUCUGCUAUCACUCUUGGAUGGACCUGCGGUGCAUUAGCUAGUUGGUAGGGUAACGGCCUACCAAGGCGAUGAUGCAUAGCCGAGUUGAGAGACUGAUCGGCCACAUUGGGACCGAGACACGGCCCAAACUCCUACGGGAGGCAGCAGCC